AGUGAACGCUGGCGGUAGGCCUAACACAUGCAAGUCGAACGGCAGCACAGUAAGAGCUUGCUCUUACGGGUGGCGAGUGGCGGACGGGUGAGGAAUACAUCGGAAUCUACUUUUUCGUGGGGGAUAACGUAGGGAAACUUACGCUAAUACCGCAUACGACCUACGGGUGAAAGCAGGGGAUCUUCGGACCUUGCGCGAUUGAAUGAGCCGAUGUCGGAUUAGCUAGUUGGCGGGGUAAAGGCCCACCAAGGCGACGAUCCGUAGCUGGUCUGAGAGGAUGAUCAGCCACACUGGAACUGAGACACGGUCCAGACUCCUACGGGAGGCAGCAGUGGGGAAUAUAGGACAAUGGGCGCAAGCAUGAUCCAGCCAUACCGCGUGGGUGAAGAAGGCCUUCGGGUUGUAAAGCCCUUUUGUUGGGAAAGAAAAGCAGCAGGUUAAUACCCCGCUGUUCUGACGGUACCCAAAGAAUAAGCACCGGCUAACUUCGUG
RNAcentral lists this ribosomal RNA (492 nucleotides) under uncultured bacterium. Its description in RNAcentral is "partial 16S ribosomal RNA". It matches the Rfam family "Bacterial small subunit ribosomal RNA", at positions 29 to 507 of the family's 1533-position model. The record is from RNAcentral.